This 3020-nucleotide unclassified non-coding RNA is filed under the name Homo sapiens (human). Its description in RNAcentral is "interferon induced transmembrane protein 10 (ENSG00000281618.1)". The record is from RNAcentral. Lineage: Eukaryota; Metazoa; Chordata; Mammalia; Primates; Hominidae.
GUGCGAGACAAGAAGCUUCUCAAUGACCUGAAUGGAGCCGUGGAGGAUGCAAAGACGGCCCGGCUGUUCAACAUCACCAGUUCUGCCCUGGCAGCCUCCUGCAUCAUCCUCGUCUUCAUCUUCCUGCGGUACCCCCUCACCGACUACUAAGGCCCGCCAGGCACGGCUGCUGGCGGAGACAAGCACUGAGACAUGUUUAUUCUCAUGGUCCCUGAAACGCAGGAUCCCAUGAGGUUGGGGCAGGGCAGGGCUUCUUGUCCUGGGGCCCCCUUGAGCUGUGAACUGGGCAGCAAGGCCAUCAGAAGCUGAGUACAGCAAGGGGGCAGUGAGCUUGGCCCUCAGUCCACCCCCUCCGCCUCCUGGCCUCCACCCUGCCUGUGUCUGGGGCCUGGGGGCUUCUCCCCUCGCUGCUGCACCCUGGCUUCCAGCGUCUGUGUCCCUGCCCUCACGUGCCCCUUCCCAGGCUCCUGGGGCCCCUUGGACCUGACACCUAGCAGGAAGGGCUUAUGCAAAAUUGUCCCAGGUUGGGAGGACUCACUCUGUGCUCCCCGACCCUGCCUCCUCCACGAUGUGACCCCGCUCAGAGCCCUUGUGUCUGUGAACUUUCAAUGAAAUACCCAUGCAGCUCCAGCCCAGCCUUCUACUUUGUGUCCCUGGCAGGGCCUGGAGAAGUCUGGAGGCUUUGCAAUCCUCCCUCAGGAACUGCCUGGCGGUCAGGGCCCCGGGUGCUGUGUCCCAACAGACUGCAGGGGACGGUCUGCUCCAUCACAGCUGUGCCAGACAGUGAAUGGGAAGGGGGGGCAUUUGGUGGAGGUACCCCAAACUCGAGUCACUUAGAGGGUCAGGCAGCCUCCUGGGGGGACGGAAGGGGGUGGGGCACAGCCUCAGCUGCCUGCAUUGGCCAAAUCAGAGCAAAGGAAACCACAAAUUCACUCGGAAGGAAGCAGCAGGCAGAGACGAUAGACGCCUGGCUAACCCCUGUCCCUCCUGGAGGGCUCUGGGACCUGGACAGGCCCCUUUACCUCUCUCGUGCCCAUCUCCUUAGCUGUAAAAUAGGAAAAUGGCCUUUCACUUCUAUAAUCACUGUGAAAAUGAACGGAAGAUGCCUUUCAAAGGCCGAGGCCAGCGCCCUGACGGCCCAUGGCAUGUGCAGUCCACAAUGUGGGAGGCAGGAUGCAGGGAUGGGCUCUGUCCCCUUGGAACUCAGGCACAGUCAUGGGGGUGCCGGUCAGCCCUGAAGACAAGCUGAUGAGGGUGCACUAGGAAAAGUGCAGGGCAUCGGCGAGGCACACGAAGGAGGUGGGGAGGUGAAGAUGGAGAAGAAGCCGAGGCAGUGGCCAUGGGUGUGGAGCUUCGCGCUGUGGGUGCCCAGCUGGUCUGGGAAACCGCAGGAAAUCCCGCAGCUCAGGUGCGCAGUGGGAAGGACUUGCUAUUCCGUGGGAAGGCAGGCAAACCUUCCCAGGGAAGGGGCAUGGCCGUGCGCCUCAUGUUUUGGGAAGCUCGUGCCCUCUGGGGUAGCGAGGCCAGCUUGGAGGGGAGUCCAGUGGACAGAGGUGGAUGCAAGUGGAGGGAGCUGAGCCUGGGCUGGGGCUGGCAGCAGAGGGCUGGACAGCAGGGCGCCUGCGUGGCAGCUGUGCAGUCAGUGGGGUUGACUGGUUUGGAAGGUAAGGUGGGGGAGAAGCCCGGAGGAUUCCUGUCCCUUGACUUGGACAGCCCAGUGGAGAGGGCUGUGUACCAAGGGCAGGAAACCAGGGAGAAGAAGAUGUUGACUUUAAGAUACCAAGCAGAGAAGGGAAGAGCCUUCUGGGCUGGAGACGUGGGGUGCCUCAGAAGGGAGGACCUUGAGCUAGCAGCAGAUGGGACAAACGCAGGGGACAGGGCACAGCCGUGGCAGGAGUGCAGCGAGCAAGAUUCUGGUCACAGUCCUGACCCAGAAACCUGCAGAGGAAGGGAGGGUGGCCAGCACCUGCCCGUGGGCCUGGGGUGCAGCCCAGGCAGAGGUGGAUGGAGGGGGUGCUCAGGGAAGAGGGGAGGGGAGUGUGUGACCUCAAAAUGGGAGGGCUUGGGGGUCAGAGUCGAGAGAGGGGACAGGGUGGGGACCAUGUGGGACUCUUGAGCACUGACCCUUGAACCCAGGCAGUGGUGGGAUGGGAGGGCAGGAGGCGGCGGGCUGCGAGGCUGAUGCGGGGCUGCACGGAGCUGUCAUUGAGCCUCUUGGAGGAUGGUGGGAGAAGUGCCAGGGGCGGCUGAAAGCCUUGCCGAGACUGUGGGCAGCCUGGUUGUGGGCACUUCGGAUGCUUGCACCAUUAGACCCAGAGGCUUCCUGGACAAGCCUGGGCUGGAAGAGGAUGGCAGAGGCUGCUGGGCCUUGGAAGAGAGAGGGUCCUGGCUUCUAGUUCCUGGGGCAGCUAAGGCCAACCCCAGUGUCCAGGUGUCUUCCAUGUUAUGCCUGGGAGGGAAGAAAGUAGAGGGGCAAAUGCUUUCUUUGCCUAUUUUCCUUAAACAUUUGGUGGCAGUGCUGGUGGCUGCCUGGGACAGGGGCCAGGAGGAAACACCCCUGCAUUAGGGAAGCCCUCAGCCAGCUUUUCCCUGGGAUGUUCCUGCGCCUGGCUGAAGCUUUCUGAGUUCAUGUUGGGGAAAUGGAACGGUCACCUUCCAGCCAGUAAAGGCACCCCUAGCUCUUGGGAUGUUUGUAUCCAACUCCGGGCAAUGUGGGGCUACAAAGGCCCCUGGCUUCCAUACCCUGGGGACCGGGGGAGGGCUGGUGCUCCCGCGGUGGGUGUCCACGGUGAGGUCAGGCCCCCACAGCAGGUGCAUUCUCGCCCUCAGCAGGCAGGCAAGCAGGCAUCAGCUCCGGCGCUGGUCUCUGGCUUCGAAGUCUGUGUCUUUGCCUGUCUGUACUCAUGCCUGACCUGCUGGCGCUCCCUGUCCACUGCACUCCUCCCACCUCAUUUUUAUGUGAUUUUGCACAGUGCCUGGCAGACAUUUGACAUUCAAUAAACAUUGUACGAACGAAAGAA